AGGGGUAACUCUCCUGAUGGCGAGUGGCGAACGGGUGAGUAACGCGUAGGGAUCUGCCCUUGAGCGGGGGACAACCCGGGGAAACCCGGGCUAAUACCGCAUAAUUUCUGAGGAAUAAAGUGUGCCUCUGCAUGCAAGCACACGCUCGAGGAGGAACCUGCGUCUGAUUAGCUAGUUGGUAGGGUAAAGGCCUACCAAGGCGAUGAUCGGUAGCUGGUCUGAGAGGAUGAUCAGCCACACUGGGACUGAGACACGGCCCAGACUCCUACGGGAGGCAGCAGUGGGGAAUAUUGGACAAUGGGGGCAACCCUGAUCCAGCAAUGCCGCGUGUGUGAAGAAGGCCUGCGGGUUGUAAAGCACUUUCGGAGGGGAGGAAGCGAUGAUGUCGAAUAGGCGUCAUUGUUGACGUUACCCUCAGAAGAAGCACCGGCUAACUCUGUGCCAGCAGCCGCGGUAAUACAGAGGGUGCAAGCGUUAAUCGGAAUUACUGGGCGUAAAGGGUGCGUAGGUGGGCGUGUAAGUUGGAUGUGAAAGCCCCGGGCUUAACCUGGGAUGGUCAUCCAAUACUGCAUGUCUAGAGUAUGGUAGAGGGUAGUAGAAUUUCCGGUGUAGCGGUGAAAUGCGUAGAGAUCGGAAGGAAUAUCAAUGGCGAAGGCAGCUACCUGGGCCAAUACUGACACUGAGGCACGAAAGCAUGGGGAGCAAACAGGAUUAGAUACCCUGGUAGUCCAUGCCGUAAACGAUGAAAACUAGCCGUUGGAUGUCUACGGACAUUUAGUGGCGCAGCUAACGCGAUAAGUUUU
This 803-nucleotide ribosomal RNA is filed under the name uncultured Gammaproteobacteria bacterium. RNAcentral's name for it is "bacterial SSU rRNA". It matches the Rfam family "Bacterial small subunit ribosomal RNA", at positions 75 to 868 of the family's 1533-position model. The record is from RNAcentral. Lineage: Bacteria; Pseudomonadati; Pseudomonadota; Gammaproteobacteria.